AAUAAAGUGCCUGAUUAAAGGAUUAUUCUGAUAGAAUAAAUUAAAUAGUAUUUCUAUCUUUAUUA
RNAcentral lists this transfer RNA (65 nucleotides) under Euryades corethrus. RNAcentral's name for it is "tRNA-Ile". The record is from RNAcentral. Lineage: Eukaryota; Metazoa; Arthropoda; Insecta; Lepidoptera; Papilionidae.